AUUGAACGCUGGCGGCAGGCUUAACACAUGCAAGUCGAGCGGGGUGAUGGUGCUUGCACUAUCACUUAGCGGCGGACGGGUGAGUAAUGCUUAGGAAUCUGCCUAUUAGUGGGGGACAACAUCUCGAAAGGGAUGCUAAUACCGCAUACGUCCUACGGGAGAAAGCAGGGGAUCACUUGUGACCUUGCGCUAAUAGAUGAGCCUAAGUCGGAUUAGCUAGUUGGUGGGGUAAAGGCCUACCAAGGCGACGAUCUGUAGCGGGUCUGAGAGGAUGAUCCGCCACACGGGGAAUGAGACACGGCCCAGACUCCUACGGGAGGCAGCAGUGGGGAAUAUUGGACAAUGGGGGGAACCCUGAUCCAGCCAUGCCGCGUGUGUGAAGAAGGCCUUAUGGUUGUAAAGCACUUUAAGCGAGGAGGAGGCUCUUUUGGUUAAUACCCAAGAUGAGUGGACGUUACUCGCAGAAUAAGCACCGGCUAACUCUGUGCCAGCCGCCGCCGUAA
This 503-nucleotide ribosomal RNA is filed under the name uncultured bacterium. RNAcentral's name for it is "partial 16S ribosomal RNA". It matches the Rfam family "Bacterial small subunit ribosomal RNA", at positions 30 to 523 of the family's 1533-position model. The record is from RNAcentral.